GGUUAAGUUAGAAAGGGCGCACGGUGGAUGCCUUGGCACUAGGAGCCGAUGAAGGACGGGACGAACACCGAUAUGCUUCGGGGAGCUGUAAGCAAGCUUUGAUCCGGAGAUUUCCGAAUGGGGAAACCCACCACUCGUAAUGGAGUGGUAUCCAUAUCUGAAUACAUAGGAUAUGAGAAGGCAGACCCGGGGAACUGAAACAUCUAAGUACCCGGAGGAAGAGAAAGCAAAUGCGAUUCCCUGAGUAGCGGCGAGCGAAACGGGACCAGCCCAAACCAAGAGGCUUGCCUCUUGGGGUUGUAGGACACUCUGUACGGAGUUACAAAGGAACGAGGUAGAUGAAGAGGUCUGGAAAGGCCCGCCAUAGGAGGUAACAGCCCUGUAGUCAAAACUUCGUUCUCUCCUGAGUGGAUCCUGAGUACGGCGGAACACGUGAAAUUCCGUCGGAAUCCGGGAGGACCAUCUCCCAAGGCUAAAUACUCCCUAGUGACCGAUAGUGAACCAGUACCGUGAGGGAAAGGUGAAAAGCACCCCGGAAGGGGAGUGAAAGAGAUCCUGAAACCGUGUGCCUACAAGUAGUCAGAGCCCGUUAACGGGUGAUGGCGUGCCUUUUGUAGAAUGAACCGGCGAGUUACGAUCCCGUGCAAGGUUAAGCAGAAGAUGCGGAGCCGCAGCGAAAGCGAGUCUGAAUAGGGCGAAUUGAGUACGUGGUCGUAGACCCGAAACCAGGUGAUCUACCCAUGUCCAGGGUGAAGUUCAGGUAACACUGAAUGGAGGCCCGAACCCACGCACGUUGAAAAGUGCGGGGAUGAGGUGUGGGUAGGGGUGAAAUGCCAAUCGAACCUGGAGAUAGCUGGUUCUCUCCGAAAUAGCUUUAGGGCUAGCCUCAAGGUAAGAGUCUCGGAGGUAGAGCACUGAUUGGACUAGGGGCCCCUACCGGGUUACCGAAUUCAGUCAAACUCCGAAUGCCGAUGACUUAUCCUUGGGAGUCAGACUGCGAGUGAUAAGAUCCGUAGUCGAAAGGGAAACAGCCCAGACCGCCAGCUAAGGUCCCAAAGUAUACGUUAAGUGGAAAAGGAUGUGGAGUUGCUUAGACAACCAGGAUGUUGGCUUAGAAGCAGCCACCAUUUAAAGAGUGCGUAAUAGCUCACUGGUCGAGUGACUCUGCGCCGAAAAUGUACCGGGGCUAAACGUAUCACCGAAGCUGCGGACUGUUCUUCGAACAGUGGUAGGAGAGCGUUCUAAGGGCUGUGAAGCAAGACCGGAAGGACUUGUGGAGCGCUUAGAAGUGAGAAUGCCGGUAUGAGUAGCGAAAGAGGGGUGAGAAUCCCCUCCACCGAAUGCCUAAGGUUUCCUGAGGAAGGCUCGUCCGCUCAGGGUUAGUCGGGACCUAAGCCGAGGCCGAAAGGCGUAGGCGAUGGAUAACAGGUUGAUAUUCCUGUACCACCUCCUCACCAUUUGAGCAAUGGGGGG
RNAcentral lists this ribosomal RNA (1473 nucleotides) under Bacillus amyloliquefaciens. Its description in RNAcentral is "bacterial LSU rRNA". It matches the Rfam family "Bacterial large subunit ribosomal RNA", at positions 1 to 1471 of the family's 2925-position model. Lineage: Bacteria; Bacillati; Bacillota; Bacilli; Caryophanales; Bacillaceae. The record is from RNAcentral.